Molecule: unclassified non-coding RNA, 213 nt
Filed under: Hevea brasiliensis (rubber tree)
Lineage: Eukaryota; Viridiplantae; Streptophyta; Magnoliopsida; Malpighiales; Euphorbiaceae
Source: RNAcentral
GGCAAACGAAGUGGCCGGAGGGAGCGAGAUGUGGUCUCUGGUGAUAGGAUUGACCAGCUCGACUGCAUAGGUGGAGUACUCCAUGGUUACCAGCCAGCCGAAGGAGGAUCCUCCUCCUCCCUCCAUCUGGUAGCCUGGAGUUGCUCCAUCUCGCCACCCCUACCACCAAAUUGUACAAGCUCCCUUUCACCCACAAUGAUAAUUGCAUCGUCG